UGCGGCCUACGGGGCGCAGCAGUGAGGAAUAUUGGUCAAUGGCCGAGAGGCUGAACCAGCCAAGUCGCGUGAGGGAAGACGGCCCUACGGGUUGUAAACCUCUUUUGUCGGGGAGCAAAGCGAGUCACGUGUGACUCAUUGAGAGUACCCGAAGAAAAAGCAUCGGCUAACUCCGUGCCAGCAGGCGCGGUAAUACGGAGGAUGCGAGCGUUAUCCGGAUUUAUUGGGUUUAAAGGGUGCGCAGGCGGUGAUGCAAGUCAGCGGUCAAAUUGCGGGGCUCAACCCCGUACUGCCGUUGAAACUGG
Molecule: ribosomal RNA, 305 nt
Filed under: uncultured bacterium
Lineage: Bacteria
Description: bacterial SSU rRNA
Rfam family: Bacterial small subunit ribosomal RNA
Source: RNAcentral